Long non-coding RNA from Callithrix jacchus (white-tufted-ear marmoset), 2070 nucleotides. NCBI's taxonomy places the organism in Eukaryota, Metazoa, Chordata, Mammalia, Primates, Cebidae. The record is from Ensembl.
GUUUAACACUCAGAUUUCACCUCCUCCGGGGGCUGACCCGGAUCUCCUAGGCGGAGAUCUUUGAGGUUCCAAAGUACUUGGCCCAAAAGUUAUCCAAGUGUUCUGACGUCAUCGUGCAACCCAAUCAGUGAAGGAUCCUGUCUGGAUAUGCAUUGUCCUAGGCCCACCCACAAACGUUUGGAUUAAAGAUCUGAGACAGGACCCAAAGUUUGAAUUUUUAACAAGAGUGCUUCCCAACCCCCAAAUUGUUCCCAUGUCACGCUGCUGUAUCUCCCCUCACCCACCGAGACUGGGUGCAUCUUGAAGGGAGAGAUGAUAUAUUACUCAUUCGGUGCCCACCACAGGCCCUGCCCAGAACGCAUGCUUAAGGCAUGAAAGAUGGAUGCAUAGAAGCCAAUACAUGAAUUAGUGAACAAACGAAUGAACCCGCCCUCUCCACGUCUGUCCCACCCAUCCAACUCCAGUGACCUGUCCUCCUCAGCCUGACCACCUCUCUUUCUUACAGGGUCGAGGCUCUUUGUGCACCCUCCCAACCGAGUCUUGCAGCUGCAGGUGUGUACACAUGUUCCAGUUCCUCUCCCCAGGGAGAGCAGGAGGUCCACUGGCCAACACUUAUUAAGCACCUGGUGGGAGUCAUCUGUGCUUGGAAGUUUAUUGCUGUUCUGAUGUUGAAGGAUACUAUGCCAAGUGACCACACAGAGGGCAUGGUGUACUGCCCUUGUCUAGGUGAAUCUGUAAUGUCUGUGGGAAUAUGGGAUCAUCUUGUGCCAGAUGUUCUAUGCACAAACAUCCUGAGACUGCUCAAAUAUACCAGCCAACGAUUUGACUGCAUUGGAUAUGCCUGUUGUUUUUUUGAUGACAUAAAUCCAUUUGAAAAUUUGAUCAUGCCAACACCUUCAGGCAAGUUUGGACCAUAGGAGGGCACAGAGAGAGCAUCUAGGCUUGUUUUUUUCCAGGAAGCACAAUCUCAGCCCUUGGAUAUCAGCUCUGCUGUUUUUCCAAAAGAUGUUGGCGAUGCAUGAGUUAAACCACACGCCCUUUUAUUUGACGGAAUGGAGAUGAAAUAUGUAGCUUACUGUCUGUAAAAGAACAUGAGAGAUUGAAGUAAUGCAAAAAGUCUAAAGGACGAAACUUUGGAAUUCUUAAAUAGAAUCUGAACACAUUUGUAUCCUGAGAGCUAAGUUCAAAGCCUGUGAAAUAAUUCUUGAAUGUGUGAGUUAAUGAAAGAAAAUUCAAUUUUUUUAAAGGGUGGAAAUUCUUGACUGAAAAACUAAGUAACUGAGUAAACACAUUACACAAACUUACUGGGAUGUCUGCAGGUGCCGCAAGGGAUGCCGAACACAGUGACAAGGGAAAAGGAGUUGGAGACUGGGAAUUGCCUUCAGAGUAAGAGAAAAACAGAAGAAAAAAGUGCAGAGCAGGAGGAGGGAGGAUGGGGCAGGGCUCUUAUCUGGCAGAGUGAUUUGAACUCUCUGAAUGUAAAUGAAGAUAACAGCAUAUCCUUAAAGUCACCUCCAUCGCCCUGGCUAAGAUUCUGGACAGAUAAAAUGCAUACCUGUUAGCCAUGAAGGCGGCAUCUUCAUGUAGUCUCAGCUACUAAAGAGGCUGAGGCAGGAGACUUGUUUAAGCCCAGGAGUUCGAGGCUGCAGUGAGCUAUAAUUGCACCACUGCUCUCCAACCUGGGCGACAGAGCAAGACCCUGCCAUAAACAAACAAACAAACACAAAAUAAGAAAGAAAAGAACAGAAAGAAAGAAAGAAGUAAGAAAGAAAGAAAAGAAAGAAAGAAAGAAAGAAAGAAAGAAAAGAAAAGAAAGAAGAAAGAAAGAGCAAAGGAAAAUGGCCUGGCAAUAGAGUAAAACUUUCUCUUUAAAAAAAAAAGAAGAAAAGAAAAAUAGAAAAACAAAACAAAGCCACUGGGGGCUCCAAAAAAUGGAGGGUGGGAGAAGGUUAAGAAUUGAAAAAUUAUCUUUGUGUGCAAUGCUCAUUAUUUGGAUAUGGAUUCACUAAAAGCCCAAACCCCAGCAUUAUGCCGUAUACCCAUGUAACAAACCUGCACAUGUAUUCCCUG